Molecule: non-coding RNA, 3141 nt
Organism: Phalacrocorax carbo (great cormorant)
Lineage: Eukaryota; Metazoa; Chordata; Aves; Suliformes; Phalacrocoracidae
Source: RefSeq, a predicted model, not a curated record
AGAAUCUGGCACAGGGAAAAUGAUACUUAACUUUGACUUAUGCACCAAGUGCUUAAAUGUUGCAAAAAAUCUUGUAUUUUUAAUGUUUCUGGGAGGGAAGGGGUGUCUUAUUUAGGAACUGGCUCCCAGCUCACUUAUUGAUGUCAUUUGAUUCAUUUUAGAAAUAAAAGCAGAUGAAAAUCUGAGUCUCUGAAGAUUUAAAUAUUGUCAGUCCGAAAGAAAGCUAAAUUGUUUUCAUGGGUCAACAGAGAGGCUGUUCUCACAAUUCAUUCAUUCAUUUACUGCUGAAUAAUGUGCUACCUCAGUUCCAAGAUUAAACAACUGGUGGUGAUAACUUCUUGUCAGGGUUUGUGUCAGUAUGUCAAGGCUUAUGUAGAACACGGGAAGGCUUGUAAUUGAAGUUGAGGCAGGUGAGCCAGUGUUCUACAGGCUGCAAAUACAGAUAAUCAAGUCAGUAUAAAAUGGGGAUUGCAGUUUCCAAAACAAAUGUCCUGAUUGUUAUUUAGUCACCUGGACAAGUAGUGACACUUUCCAAAAUGCUCCAUAAUAAGCAUUUAUUUUGCAGUCAAUGGGAGCUCCAGUUGCCUAGCACUGAAGCUUUUGCUGUUUAAUUAUGAGCCUCUGAUUUAAGUCCUGUUUUGAAAUCUUGGGACGUGAAUGAAUGGGAAGAUGGACUAAUGCAAGAGCGUUACCACUGGACUCAGAUACAGAGUAGCAAAUUACUUUGAAAUAUCUAAUAGAAAUUAAUUGGGGUUUUAGACAUGUUUUUUGUUAGUGGUUUAGGAGGAAGGAAAAGAUGGUUAUUUGUCACACAAAGAAGGAAGAAGUUCUAAGCACAGAGAGCAAACAAAGCAAGGCCAAAGGAAAAAAGCAAGGGAAGGUUAUUUGGGCAAAGUAGCACGGAAAAAAGUAUUAACGGUGGAAGGAAUGGCAGUGGUAAAUGUCCAUGGAGGCUGCACUGAAUAGGAGGCUGGGAACACUGAACCUGAUACAGAGGCCAGCAAGAAUUUUCAGAGUCAGUACUGAUAGAGUUGGUCAUUUAUUUCCCUACAAAUGCUUUGGAAAUAAAUUGAAUUAUAUUGUUCUUAAAUUGAAGCUAAGAACAAUGUGUGUGGUGUUAUACACUAUGCAAUUUUUUUUUCCUGGAUUGUACAUUGGAGAGGGGGAAAGGAAAGAGGUGAUCACUCGUAAGGUCUGCCCGUUCCGUUAAAAUCUAGAGCCCUGGAAAACAAGCUGGCAAGGGAGUAAGCUAUUCUCCUUAAAAACUGAAGUUAGGUAUAUCAAGCAUUUUCUUUUAUAUUUCCUCAUAUUGCAGAAGACUUCUUUCGGCAUAACAGACAAUUUACUCAGCUUGCAUCUUGCUGAUUUCUACGCAUUUUUGUAAUGAAAAUUUGUGCUGUCACAUGUCUGUCAACAAGUGGAAGCAACAACUUCUGUUUCUCUUGACCAAGCUAAAUAGAGCUUGAUGUGUUUUUUCCUUUUAAUAUACACUAUUAGAGCAAUCCUGCUAGGCUCCAGAUCACUUUUAUUUGGAAUCCCUGUCUUGCUUAUAUGUAAAUAUCAUCAAAGAGAUACUGCCAUGCUGCCAGCACAUCAACUUCUCUCACCACAGUCAGGGUCUUGCCAUUACAGAGUGUUAGAAAAAGCCCCCUUACCAGUGCUGCUUUGUCGCUGUGGAGUGGCAAGGGGGAAACAUAUUUCACUGAGUAAUUAUGCAGGGAGUGGAUAUUUGGAAGAGAUUGGUUUGCUUACAAAACUGACUUGGAGCAAUGCAGUAACCGUGUGAUGUUAGUGCCAUUUUUACCUGGAUACACACACUGAAACACACGAGUGUGUUGUGCUUUAUUAAUUUUGUUAUAGCAAUUUAUGGAGUCAAUGAAUCUUGAAGGAGGAAAUCUUCCAAACUUGCUUCUGUUGGAGACAGCUGACUUGGCUGGGCAAAUUUUAUGGAACAGUUCCAUCAGUUAGUUUUUACAUGAUAAGGACAUUACCCUGGUGUCAUAGCUAUUUUGCAAGCCUGUAAUUGCCUUCUAUGACCCUGAAAUUUCUCCUGCCAUUUCAGCAGGAGAGGAUGUUUUUAUUCCUUUUCUCGUGCCUGCAAUGUGGUGCUGCCAGCACUAGCGGCUGCUGUGUUUUGCCCUAGAAACAGUUAUCUUUUGCUUGUGGAUGGGCUAGACUGUUUAAAGAGAAUACAUGAGAAUUAAGGCAUUAAUCCUACUGACAUGGUAAAUUACUCAAAGUUUUUCUGCCUUUCACUUUUUUGGAAGGAACUGAGACAUGGACAAGCUUCUAGCAAGUGCCAACCUCAUCAAACAAGCAAAGUCUUCCAAGUCCAAACAGGAGGGAGUGAGCGAGCAGCUGCGUGGUGCUUGGUUGCUGACUGGGGCUAAACCAUGACAGCUGAUAAAGAAGCCGUGAUAAUCCAAGGAAGGGGAACAACGGAUAAAACAAGAAUAAGCAGGCUAAUGAAUCUCUGAAGUUUAAAGGUGUAAGAAUGAAGACAAUUAUUAGCUGGGCCAUUACUGAAAAUUAAGGCUCUGUGUGUAGCAAAAUCAAGGAAACGCAGUGUUUUAAAGCUAAUUACAAUUCCUGAGAGCUGUAAAUAUUAUUCUAAGCUAAAAAUAACUGUGUGAUGAUGCAGUCAAUGCCUAUUCAAGCUUUAGGGUUUGAAAAACAAACUGCUUGUGAUCUCUUCUGGCCACUAGCCUGGCAAACAUAUGGAAUACAAAUGGAGCAAGGUUGUUUUGUUUUUUUUUCCUGUGGUUUACAUACAAACUCACUGGCAGAAGCAGCAGGCAAAGCCAAGAGUAGAAAACUGGCCGAAAGAAGAGCAUGUUCAGUUCUGCAGCAUGGCUGGUUUAACAGAAAAGCUGCUGCCAACCAAGAGACUGAGCUAGAAAGCCUUAACUUUUCCAAACUCAUAAGGUAUGUGGAAACACUGUGAAAAUUAUUAGUUUUUUGAGUAGAGGCUCUUCAAAGUUUGGUUGUUUUUUUUUUUUUAAAUAAGAAAUGUCUCGAAUACCAGUGCUGAACCUCUUCCAAGUGUGAAUUUAAAAAUGUUUUUCUUGUAAAAUGCUGUUCUUUGAUGUGACCAGUGAAUUCCACUGUGACCUGGAAAAUUAAAAUUUUCUAUUAGUUGCA